CAGCCACAAAUUAAAUCUGCCUUUCCAGAGGAAGAAGACUAGACUUUCAUGACAACUGCUUGCAGUCUUCAUAAGAAAACCUAAAAAAUAAUGUACCAUCUGGGUGUUCAUCUAUAAUAUAAGGACUGCCUUGAUACAUGACCUGCUGAAGAUACACCCCUGAAUCUAGUUUAGCAUGCUGCUUUAAAAAGUGAAUGUCUGGAUGACUGGGGAAGACCAGGGAGGUUGGAAUGGGGUGUGAUGCCUUCCUACACUCAGAUGGAUUGCUGCCCACCAGGGUGUGUUGGGGGACACCUGAAGGAAAAAAGUGGCUCCAGAAACUUCUGCAGACAUUACUGCCACAGGGCAGACCUUGGCUGUGUGGAUAUGGCUGGGAUUAAUGAAAAAGCGUUGGCAAUCCAGAGGUUGGUCAGCUGCAAUACACACAAAAGUAGCUGGGCUUUGAUCCAGAAGCUUAUAUCUAUCUCCCUGUGAAAAACAGAAUGAGGACACUCUAAUUGAGGAGACUUUAGUCUGCUUCAGACUUCUUCAUUUUCAGCUAAAUCAGAGGCACACACAGUUUGAAAUGCCAAAGUAAGCAAAACUUCAUAGUUACUGCUAUCUUUAAAAUUCUCUUCUCAUAUCUUUGCAGAGAUAGGGAAUGUUUCCUGUCACCUCCAUGCAGACAGCUUUUAUGUAGGGGAAAAAAGUUAAAGAACCAGUAAAAAUAAUCCUCUGUUGGGAUCUGCAUACAACAGAGUUUGUGACUACAGUUUAAACUUUUGUUUUUUUUCUGUUUACAUAAGUAAAAGGAGAACUGUGACAAGCUCUUUAAAGCAUGAAUAUUGUAUGCUCCUGGGAUUCUGUAAAGACCUAUUGAAGUUGUAAGCUUUUCUCCAAGCUCAGUAUUAUUCCAUAAAGACUAUGGAUGACAUUCUUGUUACUGAGGAGAGAAGCUGUGAUAAUCUAUUACAUUUUCUCAUUUUGAAAAGAAAAUAGUGAAUCAAUUCUGUU
Long non-coding RNA from Zonotrichia leucophrys gambelii, 993 nucleotides. RefSeq lists it as uncharacterized. NCBI's taxonomy places the organism in Eukaryota, Metazoa, Chordata, Aves, Passeriformes, Passerellidae. The record is from RefSeq and is a predicted model, not a curated record. The transcript is spliced from 4 exons.